RNAcentral lists this ribosomal RNA (253 nucleotides) under uncultured bacterium. RNAcentral's name for it is "partial 16S ribosomal RNA". It matches the Rfam family "Bacterial small subunit ribosomal RNA", at positions 524 to 776 of the family's 1533-position model. The record is from RNAcentral.
UACGGAGGGAGCUAGCGUUGUUCGGAAUUACUGGGCGUAAAGCGCGCGUAGGCGGCUUUGUAAGUUAGAGGUGAAAGCCCGGGGCUCAACCCCGGAAUUGCCUUUAAGACUGCAUCGCUUGAAUCCGGGAGAGGUGAGUGGAAUUCCGAGUGUAGAGAUGAAAUUCGUAGAUAUUCGGAAGAACACCAGUGGCGAAGGCGGCUCACUGGACCGGCAUUGACGCUGAGGUGCGAAAGCGUGGGGAGCAAACAGG